GGUUCGACUAAGCCAUGCGAGUCGAAUGUAGCAAUACAUGGCGUACUGCUCAGUAACACGUGGACAACCUACCCUUUGGACGGGGAUAAACCCGGGAAACUGGGUAUAAUACCCGAUAGAUCUCAUUGGCUGGAAUGCCUUGAGCUCGAAAGCUCCGGCGCCAAAGGAUGGGUCUGCGGCCUAUCAGGUAGUAGUGGGUGUAGUGUACCUACUAGCCUACGACGGGUACGGGUUGUGAGAGCAAGAGCCCGGAGAUGGAUUCUG
RNAcentral lists this ribosomal RNA (264 nucleotides) under Streptococcus pneumoniae. Its description in RNAcentral is "partial 16S ribosomal RNA". It matches the Rfam family "Archaeal small subunit ribosomal RNA", at positions 37 to 305 of the family's 1478-position model. The record is from RNAcentral. Lineage: Bacteria; Bacillati; Bacillota; Bacilli; Lactobacillales; Streptococcaceae.